CCUGCGCUGCUUACCAUGCAAGUCGAACGGAGAUUCAGCAAUGGAUCUUAGUGGCGAACGGGUGAGUAACGCGUAGGCAAUCUGCCUUCUAGAUGGGGACAACAUCCCGAAAGGGGUGCUAAUACCGAAUGUUGUAAUUGGUUCGCAUGGACUAGCUACUAAAGGUGGCCUCUGAAUAUGCUACCGCUAGAAGAUGAGCCUGCGUCUGAUUAGCUAGUUGGAGGGGUAACGGCCCACCAAGGCUUCGAUCAGUAGCCGGUCUGAGAGGAUGAACGGCCACACUGGGACUGAGACACGGCCCAGACUCCUACGGGAGGCAGCAGUGGGGAAUCUUCCGCAAUGGACGAAAGUCUGACGGAGCAACGCCGCGUGAGUGAAGAAGGUUUUCGGAUCGUAAAGCUCUUUCGUUAGGGACGAACGUGCUCUUUGUGAAUAAUGAGGAGUAAUGACGGUACCUAAAUAAGAAGCCACGGCUAACUACGUGCCAGCAGCCGCGGUAAUACGUAGGUGGCAAGCGUUGUCCGGAAUUAUUGGGCGUAAAGCGCGCGCAGGCGGGAUAUCAAGUCUGUCUUAAAAGUGCGAGGCUCAACCUCGUGAGGGGACGGAAACUGGUAUUCUUGAGUGUCGGAGAGGAAAGUGGAAUUCCAAGUGUAGCGGUGAAAUGCGUAGAGAUUUGGAAGAACACCAGUGGCGAAGGCGACUUUCUGGACGAUGUCUGACGCUGAGGCGCGAAAGCUAGGGGAGCGAACGGGAUUAGAUACCCCGGUAGUCCUAGCCGUAAACGAUGGGUACUAGGUGUAGGGGGUAUCGACCCCUCCUG
RNAcentral lists this ribosomal RNA (820 nucleotides) under uncultured Anaerovibrio sp. RNAcentral describes it as "bacterial SSU rRNA". It matches the Rfam family "Bacterial small subunit ribosomal RNA", at positions 39 to 843 of the family's 1533-position model. The record is from RNAcentral. Lineage: Bacteria; Bacillati; Bacillota; Negativicutes; Selenomonadales; Selenomonadaceae.